GUCGGGUAAGUUCCGACCUGCACGAAUGGCGUAAUGAUGGCCAGGCUGUCUCCACCCGAGACUCAGUGAAAUUGAACUCGCUGUGAAGAUGCAGUGUACCCGCGGCAAGACGGAAAGACCCCGUGAACCUUUACUAUAGCUUGACACUGAACAUUGAGCCUUGAUGUGUAGGAUAGGUGGGAGGCCUUGAAGUGUGGACGCCAG
This 204-nucleotide ribosomal RNA is filed under the name Yersinia pestis. RNAcentral's name for it is "partial 23S ribosomal RNA". It matches the Rfam family "Bacterial large subunit ribosomal RNA", at positions 1971 to 2174 of the family's 2925-position model. The record is from RNAcentral. Lineage: Bacteria; Pseudomonadati; Pseudomonadota; Gammaproteobacteria; Enterobacterales; Yersiniaceae.